RNA transcript from Hippopotamus amphibius kiboko, 6554 nucleotides. It is a transcript of the gene named SR-related CTD associated factor 8, with no coding region annotated. Lineage: Eukaryota; Metazoa; Chordata; Mammalia; Artiodactyla; Hippopotamidae. The transcript is spliced from 26 exons. The record is from RefSeq and is a predicted model, not a curated record.
GUGUCCGCCAUAUUGGAUGCCGCAGCCGCUGCUGCCAGCGCUUCCUCCUCCGUCUUCGCCGUGCGCUGCUGGUUCCUACGGCCCGAGCGGCGGGGAGGUGAAACAGGAGACUGUCGGAGGAAGAGGAAGAAGGGGGUGGAGAGUGUAGGGGACCGGGCUAGGGGGUGGAAGCCCGAGACCGAGCGGGGCGGAGAAGAGAAGGCGCCGCGGCCCGGCCCCUCCCCCGCCGCUGCCGACCCGCCCCGGCAGUGCCUCUGUUCCCCGGACCGGCGCUCCGCCCGCCCUAGCGACCAUGCCGGGGCCUCGCCGCCCCUAAGGGAGCCCUUCCCCGCCAGUGCUUGCCCGUCCCCUUCUGCCCGGGGUCGCAGCGGCCCGGCCUCCCGCCGGCCCCCACCCCCCCACCCCCCGUCUCACUCUCCCCACCCAGUGCAGUGGCCGCCGCCUCUUCCGCCGCCGGGCUCCGGGCCUCCGCACCGACAACAUGGAGGCUGUGAAAACCUUCAAUAGCGAGUUGUAUUCCCUGAAUGACUACAAACCACCCAUUUCUAAAGCAAAAAUGACCCAAAUUACUAAGGCAGCCAUCAAAGCUAUUAAGUUCUAUAAACAUGUGGUACAGAGUGUUGAGAAAUUCAUUCAGAAAUGCAAACCAGAAUACAAGGUACCUGGACUUUAUGUUAUUGACUCUAUUGUACGACAAUCUCGACAUCAGUUUGGUCAAGAAAAGGAUGUGUUCGCACCCAGAUUUAGUAAUAACAUCAUUAGCACUUUCCAGAAUUUAUAUCGUUGCCCUGGAGAUGACAAGAGUAAGAUAGUGAGAGUAUUGAAUUUAUGGCAGAAGAAUAAUGUAUUUAAGAGUGAGAUUAUUCAGCCUCUUUUGGAUAUGGCUGCGGGGAUCCCUCCUCCUGUUGUCACACCUGUGUUGGCCAGCACUACUGCUGCUAUGAGCAACACCCCAGGAACUCCUGUGACACCUGUUACUCCAGCCAAUGUGGUCCAAGGUUUACCUGAUCCAUGGGUGUCUCAGAUAACAAAUACAGAUACACUUGCAGCUGUAGCUCAGAUCUUACAAAGUCCUCAAGGCCAGCAGCUUCAGCAGUUAAUACAAACUUUACAGAUACAGCAGCAGAAGCCUCAGCCUUCCAUCCUGCAAGCCCUGGAUGCUGGUCUUGUCGUUCAGCUGCAGGCUCUUACAGCACAACUUACAGCAGCAGCUGCAGCAGCCAACACCCUUAAUCCCUUAGAACAGGGAGUGUCUUUUAACAAGAAGUUGAUGGAUAGGUUUGAUUUUGGGGAAGAUUCUGAGCAUAGUGAAGAACCCAAAAAGGAAAUUCCAGCUUCUCAACUUUCUCAUGUUUCAGAAUCUGUGAACAAUUCCAUCUUUCAUCAGAUAGCAGAACAACUACAGCAGCAAAAUCUUGAACAUCUGAGACAGCAACUCCUGGAACAGCAACAGCCUCAAAAGGCAACUCCUCAGGAUAGUCAAGAAGGAACAUUUGGGUCAGAGCAUUCCGCAUCACCAUCACAAGGCAGCAGUCAGCAGCAUUUCCUUGAACCUGAAGCAAAUUUGGAUGAUUCCAUAGAUAUUCAGCAGCAGGAUAUGGAUAUAGAUGAAGGGCAAGAUGGAGUGGAAGAGGAGAUCUUUGAACAGGAAGCAAAGAAAGUGGCUGUUCGCUCAAGAUCAAGAACACAUUCACGAUCUCGUUCAAGAUCACCAAGAAAACGAAGGUCCAGGUCACGAUCUGGUUCUCGAAAGCGUAAACACAGAAAGCGAUCACGCUCCCGCUCUAGAGAAAGAAAAAGGAAAUCAUCGCGUUCAUACUCAAGUGAAAGAAGAGCUAGAGAAAGGGAGAAAGAACGACAGAAGAAGGGAUUACCUCCAAUUAGAUCUAAAACAUUAAGUGUAUGUAGUACUACUCUGUGGGUUGGUCAGGUAGACAAGAAGGCAACACAGCAAGAUUUAACCAACCUCUUUGAAGAGUUUGGACAGAUUGAAUCCAUUAAUAUGAUUCCUCCCAGGGGCUGUGCUUAUGUCUGCAUGGUUCAUCGACAAGACGCAUUUCGGGCUCUUCAGAAACUUAGUUCCGGGUCAUAUAAAAUUGGGUCCAAGGUCAUUAAGAUUGCUUGGGCUUUAAACAAAGGUGUAAAAACAGAAUACAAACAGUUCUGGGAUGUGGAUCUUGGAGUUACAUAUAUACCAUGGGAAAAAGUUAAAGUGGAUGACUUGGAAGGUUUUGCAGAAGGAGGCAUGAUUGAUCAGGAAACAGUAAAUACUGAGUGGGAAACUGUGAAAAGCUCAGAACCCGUUAAAGAGACGGUCCAGACAACUCAGAGCCCACCUCCGGUUGAAAAGGAGACAGUGGUCACAACCCAGGCAGAGGUUUUCCCUCCACCUGUUGCUAUGUUACAGAUUCCUGUAGCUCCAGCAGUGCCUACAGUUAGUUUAGUCCCACCAGCAUUUCCUGUGUCAAUGCCAGUUCCUCCUCCUGGAUUCAGUCCAAUUCCUCCACCUCCUUUUCUCCGAGCAAGUUUUAACCCUUCACAACCACCUCCUGGUUUCAUGCCACCUCCAGUUCCACCACCUGUUGUACCCCCACCUACUAUUCCACCAGUAGUACCAACAUCUUUAGUGCAGCCGCCAUUAUCUAUGACUCCAGAAACUGUGAAAGAUGUUGGAUUUGGUAGCCUUGUUUUACCAGGUGGUUCUGUUGCCAGCAGUCUUGCUACUUCCGCUCUGCCAGCUGGAAAUGUUUUUAAUCCUCCAACUAAACAAGCAGAGCCUGAAGAAAAAGUACCUCAUCUUAUAGACCACCAGAUUUCUUCUGGUGAAAACACCAGAUCAGUGAUUCCAAAUGAUAUCUCAAGUGGCUCUGCAAUUUUAGGACAGCCUCCAAGUGUGACGAACAGUUCUGGGAUUCUGGGAGUCCAAAGACCAAAUGUAUCAAGUAAUAAUGAAAUUCUUGGAGUCCGGCCAUCUAAUAUUUCCAAUAGUGCUGGGAUGAUUGGAGGCCAGCCACCAAAUAUUCUAAAUAACUCUGGAAUUUUGGGAAUACAGCCACCGAGUGUGUCGAGUAGUUCUGGACUUCUGGGCGUGCUACCCCCAAACAUACCUAACAAUUCCGGACUUAUAGGAGUACAACCACCCAGUGUUCCAAAUACUUCUGGACUUUUGGGAACACAGCCACCAGCUGGGCCUCAAAAUUUACCGCCUUUAAAUCUUCCUAAUCAAAGGAUGCCUGCAAUGCCAAUGUUAGACAUUCGUCCAGGACUAAUACCACAGACGCCUGGACCAAGAUUCCCUUUAAUGCAGCCUGGAAUUCCACCCCAACGGGGACUCCCUCCCCCAGCAGUGCUUGAUUCAGCUCUUCAUCCACCACCCCGUGGUCCUUUUCCUCCAGGAGAUAUUUUUAGUCCACCUGAAAGACCUUUUCUAGUUCCUGGAAGACAAAGUGUAGACAAUGUUGCUAAUCCAGAAAAAAGGAUACCACUUGGGAGUGAUAACAUGCAACAGGAAGGAGAUAGAGAUUACCGGUUUCCUCCCAUAGAAACCAGGGAAGCUAUUAGUAGACCUCCCCCGGUGGACGUUAGGGAUGUGGUUGGACGGCCUGUAGAUCCAAGAGAAGGUCCUGGAAGGCCUCCGUUAGAUGGUAGAGAUCACUUUGGAAGACCUCCUGUAGAUAUUAGAGAGAAUCUUGUGAGGCCAGGCAUAGAUCAUCUUGGUCGGAGAGACCACUUUGGCUUUAAUCCAGAAAAGCCCUGGGGGCAUAGAGAUUUUGAUGAGAGAGAGCAUCGAGUUCUGCCUGUCUAUGGUGGUCCCAAAGGCUUACAUGAAGAAAGAGGUAGAUUUCGAUCUGGAAACUAUCGGUUUGAUCCUAGAAGUGGUCCUUGGAACAGAGGAUUUGGACAAGAAGUUCACAGAGAUUUUGAUGACCGCAGAAGACCCUGGGAGAGGCAAAGGGAUAGAGAUGACAGAGAUUUUGAUUUCUGCAGAGAAAUUAAUGGAAAUCGUCUCGGACGAGAUAGAAUUCAAAACACCUGGGUCCCCCCUCCUCAUGCUCGGGUUUUUGAUUUUUUUGAAGGGGCCACUUCGCAACGAAAAGGUGAUAAUGUGCCUCAGGUUAAUGGUGAAAAUACCGAGAGACAUGCUCAGCCACCACCCUUACCAGCACAGAGUGAUCCUGAACUUUAUGAAAAACUGACAUCUUCAAGUGAAAUAAACAAGGAGAAGAGUGACACAGUUGCUGAUAUAGAGAGUGAACCAGUGGUAGAAAGCACAGAAACUGAGGGGACAUAAUCAUCACUCAGUAGGACAGAAUGACUAGGAAGACGAUGGAGCUUCGAAGUCUAGCAGAAUAUGAAGUCAUUCUUCUUCAUCGAUCUGGUUUAAAUGCAAGGCAAAGCCAGAAUACUGAGAUGGUGUCUCCUGCGUGUCUGAUUGCUGGUGGCCGGGAUGCCCAAAUGAACUCCAGCCUCUUCCCGCUGUGUAUUCCCACCCUUUACAUCAGAUCUUCAGACAUUCAACUAUCAAAUAAGAAAACGAUGAUGCUCUGGGUUGCCCAGGAGAGGCCACACAAACUGCAAGCUUGACCUUCAAGGCCCUCCAGGCACCAACAUGACUGCUGCUUCAAGUCCUUGUGCCUCCUGAUGCCUCCUGCGGGACCCCCUUCCUCCUCUCAGAGCCAAGAUCUUUCCUCUCCAAGGAGAAAUUCUGAAGUGUCUGCUCUCAGCCCAGCUCUAUCACAUCGUUAUGGAAGAACAUUCAAUCUGACUUUCAUCAUGUUGUAACGUGGAGAUGAAAUGUCCCUAUUCACCUUAACUGCUGGUGGAAUCUCCUGCAGCCAGAAAUGGUCAUUACACUUUGCUUGUUCUCUUCCGCCUGGCACUUACCACCGUCUGCCUGAGGAAGAAGCCGAGCAGGCUGAGACUGUGAGGAAGUUACCAGUCGCCAGCUCCCAGAUGACAGAGGAGAGGAGGAGAAAAAGCAGAUUUUCAGAACGCAGUUAUGUUAGACAUGGUAACAGAGGAAUCUAACAUGACAAAAGAAAAAAAGAGGAGAUUCCUGCCCCCGAGAGCAAAGCAUUCAGUUGCCACGUCGCUGAAUGGGGCUUUGCAAAAUGUGUGAGCACAGUAAGAGUUGAACCCAGCUCCGCCGAGGAAACAGAUAACCCACUUGCGGAGCGAGACCCCGAAGUGCCUUGAUGUUCCAAGCCCCCAGCCAGUUACAGGGACACCCCUGACCGGCCCUCCCCCAUCAAGGUGCGCUGUCCUGUUGGGGAGGGAGCAGUGGUGAGGGAACAAGAGUGCUAAUGUUCCGGAAGCAUAGAGUUGGUUCCACCCAGACGGCUCCUUGAAGAUGCUCAGGUAGAUGCUAUUUUUGCUGGGUCCUGAAGCGUAAGAGCGGCACCAGGAGUUUGCUGCAGCUGUUUGGGCAGAGCUGAUGGGCAUGGUGGUGGAGAGGAAGAAAGGUUUGGGAACAUUCUAGGAGGUAACAAGGCGAAGACUGGAGACCAAACGGUUGUGGGAGUGAAAGUCAGGAGAGGUCAAAGACGGCUCCAGCAGCUUGGGAAAUAGGGAUGCUACUGACUGAGGGAGGAGGUGGGAUGGAGGGGAAGGAAGUCUGGGGAGGCAUCACAGUGGCGAGGUAGGUGUGGAUGAAGGCCACCCCUCCAGGGCCGUGGGAGUCAGGGUAGCGCGGAAUCACUCUUUCUGGAUUCUUUUUUUUUUUUGGUGGGGGGGGAUCUUCCCCCACUAGUAUGUAUUUUUUAAUUGAUGGAAUUGUGUUAGAUUGAAAACGAAACAGGGACAAAAUAUAACCUUCUGUGGGGGUAACAGGCAGAGAAGAGGCUGAGGGGUGGUGGGACCAUGAAGCUGUGCACCACUUGGGUGACUCUCAUUAGACGUAUUGCUUGCUCGUUGGCUUAUUUUCACAGGAGAUGGUAGGGGAUGAGCUAACGGCAGGUCUCCACCACUGCCCAUCAGUCACCCUUCUGUUCAGCUUGCCCUUGGCAUGAUGCUGGCGAGACACAGAAGCACCUCUAGCACUUCCUCAGGACAGCUUGUUUCUCAUGAUCUCAUCACAGUGAAGAAGAAGAUGGAUUUCUCAACCACUUCCUCUUGCAGUAGGAGUUUGAAAAGUGCGGUGAAGAAGCUCGUGCAAGCUCCCAAAACAGCCAGCUGGAACAACAGUUUGUAUUCGACCAGUGAUCUUCAGAAAGGAGAGAUGCAGCCUCCCUUGAAGAGGCUGUCCUCUGACUUCUCCAGAGUUAGCCUGACCCACUGGCAGAGCUAGCUGCCUGCCUGUGCUGGGCAGACGCUGGGGUGGAGUCAGUGUGGUCUUUGUUUACUGGAUCCUGGGGUGCUGGGAGGGAGGCUGCAUGGAGCCUGUUAGCUCGGGGCAUGAAGUAAUAGAAAAGCACUUGGUGGUAACUAUCACUGGAAUCCUCCUUCUUGCCCACAAACAAGCUUUAAAAGUGAAUUUGAGCUCCGUGAAGAUUGGUAUUAAACACAGUCAUUCUUGACCGGUAUUGCCAUUGGGUGCGUGUGCGUGUGUGUCUAAU